Molecule: long non-coding RNA, 1137 nt
Filed under: Olea europaea subsp. europaea
Lineage: Eukaryota; Viridiplantae; Streptophyta; Magnoliopsida; Lamiales; Oleaceae
Source: RNAcentral
CCUCGUGUAGCAAGUGGUUCAGAGCUCUAUAGGUUAGUUUUUGAAUGAUAAAAUUCGAUUUUUAUUUUUUUUUUUAGAUUUUUGGAGUAAGUAUGAGUGCGUGGUGAGCUUAUAUAACUUUAGAAAUGAGGACUUAAGUUGGGGUGAGAAUCUCAAAUUUUUUAAAAAAAAAGCGAAACAUUUGGUUCUCCAUUUUUUCUUGGUCACCUAUCUGGUACUUUCAGCAUUCUUCCUAUUGUUGUUCAUUUAGGACAGAACAUUUUGUGCAUCGAUUCUUUCGAUGUUUCGAUGCAUGGUAUUCGUGAUAUUAAUAUUUCUGCUCUGAUUUUAAGUGUUUGGCUUUUUGCGCACUUAUGUACUUCAACAGGGAGAAAAUUCUUUGGUCUGGUGAUAAUUGUGCUCGUUUUGCCUUUUUCAUUGUAGUUGCCAAGUAGGAACUUGCGUCUGGGUGCAAGUUUUUUCCAAAGAUUGAAGGAUCUUUAAAAUCAACUUGAUAUGAAUAAAACUGAUACUUCUUCCCCAAUUUCUCUUCCGUCCGUCUAAUACUUCUCCUUCCAUCUCUCCCUCUUCUCUUUUCCCACUCUUUUCUCUUCUCUUCUGUUCUUCUUUUCACUUCCCCUUCUCCUAUAAUUCUACUAUCUUGUUUUAUUGCAUCCUACAUCACUUAAGCUUUUGUGGGGCUAACAGUUGCAUAAUUUUUUCAGGUUAUACUUGAGUGCUGAUGAAAAUUAAUUUACUGUGAGAAGCCUGAUUUUUUGUGAGAAAAAAAAAGAAUAGUCCCUUAGUUCCUCUGAGCUUUUCAACUAUUGUUUGAUCUGAGCAGGGAUUAGGUCUCUUGUUAAUCUUGCGAAUGGCUAAAAUUGGAUCCCUUUGUUGUGUGGCUGCAAGGCCACAUGGAUCAAAUACGCCCAAUAAGGAUUUGUCUGUGGAGUCACAUAAGCCCUAUUGGCGAACUAAUAUAAGCUUUUCACCAGUGCCUUUAAGAUGGGAUUUUGGUUUCCAAUAUGAAGCGCUGUCAUUUGGUUCUUGCGAUGGCGUUCAACUGAGCUCCUCUGCAUCAUCAAACAGCAGAGGAAGAGGAAGUCGGAUGAGUAAAUUCUUAACCCCCCCCCCCCCCCCCCNNNUAUUCUGGGCCAA